UCAUUUCCUUAGUGUCUUGUGUAUUAGCUUGUGUAUUUUCACCUCUGUAGUGAGGGUAUCUUGGUCAGAGAUGCAGGCAGUCAUACCGCGGUAGCGUCAAGAAGCCCCAGGCUCCUUAGAGCUAAGUGGUGUCCAUAUACAUCACUCAAAUACAAGGAGCGAGGCUUAAGUUUGGCCCGUUCAGCUUUGUCAGCUAGAAGAGAGGGUGGGAAAAUCACACAUCUAAUCAACGUAUAGCUUUGCCUACUAAAAAGACUUCUCUGUAGAUGUCAAAUAUUUUUUUGCUGAUCUAGCUUAUUUCUUCAAGAAACAGAUGUAAACACUAAACUCCAGAGGGAAGCUUGUCUCUAGGAGGAAAUGUUUGCUGGCGUAUCCGGAUGUGCAAACUCUUUACUACAGACAAAGAAUGACAUGAGGCUACACUAUUACCAAAGAGGAAUUUAAAGAAUGAUUUUUCAGGAGCAUUUUGUGGCUUAAGGCUUUUUCUGGAACUUGCACGCAUAAAGGAACAUAUAUGAAAUUUUUAUGGCUACACUUAUAUUCGUGCCUAGGUUGAAAAUUUUGUUGUUUGUCCUAAGAGCAAAGGUUUUCAGGGUUCCAGAAGCCCCGUUAAGCAUUUGCUUUCAUGCUGACUUAACAGUCUUAGGCAAUGCAAUGUGAGACACAUACAUAAUAACGUGCCUUUUUUUCCUCUUGUAUUUGCUGUCAUGCAAGAAUUUCGGGUUUGUAGAAAGACUCCGGAGACCAACUGAAAUGCAAAUCAGGAUAUAUCAGACUAAGAAAAUAGAAAGGAUAUUAUCAGGAGCCUUGAAACACAUUUUCAUUUCAACUCUGAAAAGCACUGGCAGAAUAAUUUUGCGGAGUGAGACCGUCUCCUCCAGAUGUGGCGCUGGACUGGACCUGAGCUUUGCUGCUUAUUUACCUUUCAAAAACCUGCUUUUAUUGUGGUGUUCGUGCCUAGCAAGGAUCCUGAACAUAGGCUCUUUUAAUGUAACUUGAAAGGAAAGCGGGGGACCCCAGCAUAGUCCAAAUAUAGCCCCCACGGUAACGGUACUGCCGGCCGCGUGGACUGCUUGUUGGAGGCGAAGUCGUGCUCAUAGAGCUCAUGCCGACGCCGGCCUUUCAGGAGUGGGGAGGGAGAGGCUUUCGGGGAACUGCUGCUAGCAGAUAAAAACCUGAACUCGCAACCAGUUCUGAAACGGUCCCUGCUUGAUGUAAAGGCCUUUGGAGCUUUUUCACUCAACUUUGAGCACUUCUGCCUUUCCUCUCGCAACGUUUAGCUUUGACUUUCUUCUGCUUAUCUGUCGCUGGAGAGUAAUUGUCCCUUUCAUAAGGACCUUGCUUUAACCUUGAACAGUGGUUCCUCUAGCACCUGACGUGCCUUAUGUACUAUAUAUACUGAUGAAAGAGUGAGGUACCAUCCUAAUGUCUUCCUUGAUGAUUUCUUUUUUUAAUCUGUUUCAAGGAUGCCUUUCAGAUGGGACAUGAAAGCUUUUCCAAUUAUUACAGCACUCUCUAUGAAAUUUUUUAUUUAAAAUUUAGAUUUAUAUUUAGAAUAGGAGGAAAAAAGCCUACACAGUCUUAAGGGGCUGAAGCAGCAAUACUCGAGUUGUUAACAGUUGCUGUUAUCUGUUGUUUGGUCUGGGCCUAAUUGUGAAAUGGGCAUUUCAUUACUAAAUGGACACAGAGCCUUUCAUGCUGAUGGCGACCUGACCACACAUCUCACUGUUGCUGUAUGUGAAGCCUUGCAGGGAAAAGGUAGGAAUUGUAAUGAUAAUAUUCUGGCAGGGAAUGCUGCAACAGGACUAUAUAUAUAGUAGAAAGUGAGAACUCCCAUUUCAGGGCAUGGUUGAGGCAUGUUCAAUCAAAGGAAUAAAACUGAUUUGGUUUUAUUUAGUCUGUUUAGGAAUAAAACUUGUGCAGCAGACUCCCAUUUAUGCUUGCACCCAGUGUCAGGCGUGAGCUGGCUGGGGCAGGUGGACACAAUCCAAAAUUAAGAAUAAUUUGCAAACUGAGAGAAUGGCAAGGGCUCUUUGAUUCUCUGCCUUGGCUGGACAUGUGUGAAGGGAAGAGAGUGGAGAAACUGGGCUUUAUUCAGUGCACAGGAGGAGAGCUACAGAACCGCCACAAACAAACAAAAGCGAAAAGGAAAGUAAGAGUAGAUAUGUUUUUAAUAUUAUGGUAAUGUGCAAGGCAUGUUCUUUAGCAGAAUUCGGAUAGGAGGACAGGACCAGGAAUGGACUUGCAAAGCUAAGGUAAAACCCUAUCUUAGAAAAAUGAAGAGAAAGGAAAAAAUGCUUUUGACGAGGUUUGAUAGGAAAAGUAUUGGCAAGUGUCACCAAGAAUUGGGAAAAAUAACAGUUCAGCACAUGGCUAAACCAUGCGAGAUGGCUGAUGUGUGCAAACCUUCAAAGAUGAAUUCAUUGGUAAUUAGGAAUACAAAGAGCUUGAGUGAAAACGCGGAGGGGUACAUGAACUUGUUGGCUUCAUACCCCAUAUGAUACUUCCUGAGAGAUUCGGCCCAUGUUUAUACAGUGGCAGAUGUUUAUAUACUGGCAGAUGUGAGCCUUGAUGAGCACUAUGGGUGCUACCACUACUGUAGCAUCAAGCCCAGGCUAAGGCAACCUGAUGUGAAGCAGGUUGCUUUAGCCCUGCAGCUUCUUGCUGUUUUGGUAGGGCGUGGGCACAGAAUAUAACAUGUAGGUGCUCCUGUCCAUCUCCCAAAGCCUGCAGGCAUAUGUAAAGCUUUUGGAAAAGGAGUAUGCACAGUGAAUUUAUCAGCUGGCUCUGGGAUGUAAUGAAAAAUAGCUUGGGAAGUGCACCUUUGUUUGUGCAAAAGCAAAAUGCAAAGCCAAGGGGAUAAAAUGCAAUGAUAGGCUUAAUGUUCUGCAUAACUGUAGUAAUUGUAUUAAAGCUAGCAGGCAAGGAAAAUUCAGGGAGGCAGAAAGUGCUGCACUAGGCAUGGGCAGUAACUCAGAGAGUAAGAGUUAGCAGGUGUGUAGCAAUAACUGGUUGCAAAGCAGCAAAAACAUGAUUUGUGAAGUGCAGACCGGGAUGCUAGGGGAAGGCAGCGGUACUCAAGCAAAAAGAAAUUGGCAGUGAGGCAGCGAUGAGCACGUGAGGCUACCGAGGCUUCCUUGGCACGGGCUGAUGGAGGAGGAGAAGCUUGCAGCUGGCCAAGCCCUGUGCAGGUUGGAUGAGGGCGCGAUUGCGGGGCUGCGGGGAAACAGUGCGUGCCGUUCAGGAGGUGUCAGGUCGUACAGAAAAUGCAGGAAUAAUGCAAAUGUUCUUAAUGCAGACGAGCUAUUUAAAUAAUAGAUGCUGAAGCAAAACAAACCCAAAUAACUCGUGGAAUAGGGAGGAUGGUGUCAUGGAUUCCCUGGUUCCUUUAGGCCUAGGAUAGUCAGCUCCCAAGGCGUGCAAUAGCUGUAUUUGAUUACCAAGAGAGAAAUACAGAGGGAAAAGGAGUAGUGGGAAGAAACAGAGAUACCAGUCGCUGCCCCGGACUGCGCAGAGGUGACAGUAGCCUCGGGAGGAGGUCGUGUCAUCCCCCAGGGAGCCACGGGACUGUCCCGUGGAAGCCUUCCUGCGCCAAGGCCAAAGGCUUCAACAACAGGGAGAUGUCUACUCCUGACACUACGGCUUCUUUUUCCUGAAGAAAAAGAGGACUAGUGAGUGAUCUAAGGUUAAAGGGACAAUAUUGUGGUUUGGGGGCACUAUGUCAGUUGUGAGAGAUCAGACUGUGAAUUAGGGGGAGGAAAAAAAAGAAAAGAAAAAAAAAAAGUAAAUUCAGAGGCAUUGCUAGAAAACCCAUUAAUGGCAAACCCAGAAAUAAUCCCCGCUGAACCCAUGAACAUUUGCCAAGCAGAGGAAAUUCCCCAGUGCAUAUGAGAACCCCAAGACAGCAGGCAGUGCUCCGAGUGUGAUAAAAAAUUAAAAGUAUUACAAGGCAGAGACCGGGGCAGGGCGUCCUGCCGAGCGAAGACGCGGCUGCCUGGGGAGCUGCGGUGCAAGCUUGGCUGCAGCCUGGCUGUGGCAGGGAGGCGAGAGGUAAAACGUGCAACUGAUUUUGCUAUUUUUCACACAGGUGCGAGGUGCAGGCCGGAGAGGAGCGCCGGCGAGAAGGGACCUCUCACGGGGAGCUGGAAGGAAAGCUGAGCUCCUGCUAAGCCGGACGCGGUGCGCAAGCCAGCGUGCUGCUAGAAAUCCUUGAAAGCAAAUCCCAGUUAGGAGAAGGUAAACGGAUGAAAUUUAGGGUUAGAGUCGUAAACUUGUCUUUGCGAAGGGAACAAGCAAACUAAAUGUGUAAUGAAUCUGAAAAGAUAUGGUUUGUAAUAUAUGCUCAUUGGGAUGUUAAAAUACUGUAUGAAACCCUCCCGAAGGGCCAGGAAAGCUUAUGUGGUCUGGCUGAAGAAAGACAAGCGUGGAGAAGAAAAGCUUUGGUCCAACAUCUUUGAUUCUUUCAACCAACCAACCAAAACCCUGCAAUAAUUGUAGCUGAUGUUACAGCAAUAAGGCAUGUGGAAGGAAAGGCAAUACAGCGAGGUGUGCAGGUACAGCGUGUUAGAGACAGGCAGAAUGAAGAACUGGGGGUGAUGGGUGAUGAACUGUGGUGGGAAUUCUCCCUCUAAUUUAAUUGUGCCAUGGUCAGCUGCAGAGCACAGCUGUCCAGGUAGGUCUAUGGGACAUAAGAUGGUAGCCCCUGCAAAGAGUAUGAGAGAGAAUUUGAAAUAUAUAGAGAGAAAAGGAAGUAUGAAAUAUAAGAGAAAUGAGAGUGUGAGAGGGUGUGCUGUCAUGGGCCUCUGAUAUCAGUAAAGACAGUAUCACUGGUGCAAAGAAAGCUAAGUGUUAAUCUGCUCAAGCAGAUGACAAAGCUUUGGCUUGCUGGCUGCAAGGAAGGCUCAGUCCCAGCUGAACUGACCUUUCAGAGAGGCUGGCAAAGCUUCCUGUUUCCCCACCAAAGAUCGUUUUCUAUUUAGCUUCAAAUUUUGAAAAUUGCAAAAAUCUCUUCCAGGCUUUUUAGUUUGCGCAAUACCCUUAAAGCAUGUACAGGUACAUCCUUGUCGUGGCCAGCUCAGGCACCAGCAUUAUUGUGCAGCGCUCGUCGGUGAUGGUGCAUCCUGCAAAUGAUGCUGUGCCCCAUGCAAGUGUCCCGCAUGGACUAAGUGCACUGGGACAGUCUCUUCCUUCCUCAUCCUCUAGUCUCUUUUUCUUUUAUUUAGCCUGCUCUGAGCUGCUGGGCAGCUCAUUCACGCUGGGAGCGGUGCUGGAAAAGCUGCCAAAGCCAGGGCCCCCCAGCUGGUGCUGCAGCCACCGCGUGCAUGGGCACCAGCCCCAAGCGAGUUGCCCUCGGCUGGAUACGUGCGAGUUGUACCCCGUGUUGGUGUCCUGGGCCGCCAAGGGCGCACUGCCGGCGGCUGGGGCGAUUCGCGAGCGAGCCACGCAGGGAAGCCCAGAGCCACAUCGCCUCCGCGUCUGGGGAAUUUUGCCUCUAGCUUCAGUCAGCAUUUGCAAGUCUUGUUAAACCUGAAUAACCGCAAUCCGUGACUCCAGCUUCAAAAACAUCAGAUGCUGAAAAAGUAGUGUGAAGCGUGUGUUUACGUGCACCCCCUCCCCGGCUCUUGCACCGAGGUCUCGGUGUGCGGCGGUCCCUGCUCCUGCCAGCGUCCAGCGACUGCUAGGUCACCUCCGCGUCAGGCAACGUUUGCUUAGCUGAAGUUAUACUUUUAAAUGUUUGUAAUUACACUGGUGUAAAACCAUUUGCGGAUGCUCUUCUAUGCGCUUUAACGGAAAUCUGAAUUCACAGCCAGAACCGAUUUUCUUUUGGACUCUCUUCUGAAAGCUGAAUCUGUUUAAGGGUAUCCACAUGGGUGUGCGCUGGCUUCAAUAAACAGAAUUAAAAACAGAUUUUGCUUAAA
Molecule: long non-coding RNA, 5918 nt
Organism: Dromaius novaehollandiae (emu)
Lineage: Eukaryota; Metazoa; Chordata; Aves; Casuariiformes; Dromaiidae
Exons: 2
Source: RefSeq, a predicted model, not a curated record